CAAGGUUAAAACUCAAAAUGAAUUUGACGGGGGCCCGCACCAGCGGUUGAGCAUGUGGUUUAAUUCGAUGCAACGCGAAGAACCUUACCUGGUCUUGACAUCCACGGAAGUUCUUCAGAGAUGAGAAUGUGCCUUCGGGAACCGUCAGACAGGUGCUGCAUGGCUGUCGUCAGCUCGUGUUGUGAAAUGUUGGGUUAAGUCCCGCAACGAGCGCAACCCUUAUCCCUUUGUUAGCAGCGGUCCGGCCGGGAACUCAAAGGAGACUGUUAGUGAUAAACUGGAGGAAGGUGGGGAUGACGUCAAGUCAUCAUGGCCCUUACGACCAGGGCUACACACGUGCUACAAUGGCGCAUACAAAGAGAAGCGACCUCGCGAGAGCAAGCGGACCUCAUAAAGUGCGUCGUAGUCCGGAUUGGAGUCUGCAACUCGACNNCAAGAAGUCGGAAUCGCUAGUAAUCGUGGAUCAGAAUGCCACGGUGAA
This 481-nucleotide ribosomal RNA is filed under the name uncultured Gammaproteobacteria bacterium. RNAcentral describes it as "bacterial SSU rRNA". It matches the Rfam family "Bacterial small subunit ribosomal RNA", at positions 889 to 1366 of the family's 1533-position model. The record is from RNAcentral. Lineage: Bacteria; Pseudomonadati; Pseudomonadota; Gammaproteobacteria.